Molecule: transfer RNA, 73 nt
Filed under: Plantactinospora endophytica
Lineage: Bacteria; Bacillati; Actinomycetota; Actinomycetes; Micromonosporales; Micromonosporaceae
Also listed under: 12 other names
Description: tRNA-Trp
Rfam family: tRNA
About the family: Transfer RNA (tRNA) molecules are approximately 80 nucleotides in length. Their secondary structure includes four short double-helical elements and three loops (D, anti-codon, and T loops). Further hydrogen bonds mediate the characteristic L-shaped molecular structure. tRNAs have two regions of fundamental functional importance: the anti-codon, which is responsible for specific mRNA codon recognition, and the 3' end, to which the tRNAs corresponding amino acid is attached (by aminoacyl-tRNA synthetases). tRNAs cope with the degeneracy of the genetic code in two manners: having more than one tRNA (with a specific anti-codon) for a particular amino acid; and 'wobble' base-pairing, i.e. permitting non-standard base-pairing at the 3rd anti-codon position.
Source: RNAcentral
AGGGGUGUGGCGCAACUGGCAGCGCAGCGGCCUCCAAAUCCGAAGGUUGCAGGUUCGAGUCCUGUCACCCCUG